ACGGAAGGCAGCAGUGAGGAAUAUUGGUCAAUGGACGGAAGUCUGAACCAGCCAAGUCGCGUGCGGGAUGAAGGCCCUACGGGUCGUAAACCGCUUUUGUACGGGGAUAAAUUCACCCACGUGUUGGUGUUUGUAGGUACCGUAAGAAUAAGGAUCGGCUAACUCCGUGCCAGCAGCCGCGGUAAUACGGAGGAUCCGAGCGUUAUCCGGAUUUAUUGGGUUUAAAGGGUGCGCAGGCGGGCUGCUAAGUCUCCGGUGAAAGGUCAGGGCUCAACCUUGGCACUGCCGGAGAUACUGGAGGCCUUGAGAGUGGCGGAGGUAUCCGGAAUGUGUGGUGUAGCGGUGAAAUGCAUAGAUAUCACACAGAACACCGAUUGCGAAGGCAGGAAACCAUACCAUAUCUGACGCUCAGGCACGAAAGCGUGGGGAUCGAACAGGAUUAGAUACCCUGGUA
RNAcentral lists this ribosomal RNA (454 nucleotides) under uncultured Porphyromonadaceae bacterium. RNAcentral describes it as "bacterial SSU rRNA". It matches the Rfam family "Bacterial small subunit ribosomal RNA", at positions 341 to 792 of the family's 1533-position model. Lineage: Bacteria; Pseudomonadati; Bacteroidota; Bacteroidia; Bacteroidales; Porphyromonadaceae. The record is from RNAcentral.